CAUAGCUAGACACUAACAUGUGCCGGUUGCGAGAAAUUAGGGUUCAGGGUUUCGGCCUCCGGAAACGCGGCGCCAACGGUGUGGUUCCUUUGGAAGUUGGGCUUGUUUGAUCCGAUGGGAUGCGGUUAGUAUUCGGGGCAGCUCUGAAACCGUGUCGAAUUCCAUCAAAAUCGAAACUUUCCUUUACCUUUUGGGUUUCCACCCCUCGAUCCCACCACCCCGAGCAAUCCCCUUCUGAGUUCGACAUGGACGACGCCGGAGAGAAGCUCGAAGACUACACCGUCGUCAAGGAAGGGGAGGCCGAGAUAAUUGCAUUCCGGCAGCAGCGUCUUCUAUAACGACGCCCAGGUCCCUGAAGAUAUACACAUCCAGACGAGUUAAGACACUGAUAUGCCUCCACCUCAAUGUCUCCCUUGCAUUUGCUGACACUGUACCCUCAUCUUUGCCUGAAUCAAAAUUUUUACUACUGCCCUCUAAACAAGUAGAAGAAAGCCAACUCGCUUCAACAACCUCGAAUUUAGCAAAAAGAUUCAAUUUUUACCUCUUCGACGCACUUAGAUAAGAUUGCAACAAUGGAAGACGAAGCCGGGAAUCCAUGAGGAUCAUAACGCUUCGGCUCCCCUCGAGAGUUCACCGACGGUAUGAACUCCUUAUAAACCCUUAUUUUUAUAAAAAACUUUUUAAUUUUUUUUUUAAAAUAAAAUAUAAGAUAUUUUUUUAUUUUUUUGUUGGUCAUACUUUUCGUGUUUCUCUUUGUGUCGACGGAUGUUGGAAAUUUCAAAACCGGAUCACUUCGACGUACAAGAAACAGUGGUUUGAAUGAAAAUAAAGCAGGCUACAAGACUAACGAGAAUUUCUUGCAAGAAUUGAAGCAGCUGAUUCCUUAGCUUAGGAUAAAUCUACAUAUCUAUGGCAAAACCUGGACCAAAUGCAUUUUUCUGGGAAGUUCUAAUAGCUGCCAUGUUAAUCAAAUUUGACCUGCAAUUCAGAAAAUUCAAAGAUGUAUGCUACCGAAGUAAAUAAUUAGAAAGGAGUCGAGAUUGACAACAAGAAAACUCCACUGAUGUUAAAUACUCAUGUGAAAGUUGCUCAAACAUUGUUUGGUUAAGCAUACUCCCAAUGCAUAAAAAAAAUGUAGCCCAUAGGCACCAUAGAGCACCAAGUGAAUCAGUUGAUGGUGUAGGUUUUGAUCUGUUACUUCUCCAACCUAGAAGAGAUGUGAAGAAGGCAAUUCUGCCAGUGUUCUUUUCUCUGUGCCUGGGAGAUGUUGAUAUCUCAGGAGCUAGACAUCUCUAUGGCACCAAUUAUGACCUCACGACCGUCGCUACAUUUUAUAAUUGAUGAAACAAUUGAUUUGCAACGAAUGCCAGUGAGACAAAAGGAUCCGUUUCUGACUGUAUUUAGUGAACAGAAUAGAUAUUGUCAGUCCAAGAAGUCCCAAAUUCUCCAGUUAAGACUACCGUACCGAUGAUCCAUGUCCUGAAACCAGCUGAAAGAAGCGAAGGGCAGUGGUCCGCUGCUCGAGAAAAAGGUUCCAUACAAGAUCAUGCGAUGUCUGGUGUUCACUAAAGAUCAAAUCCUAGUCCUUAAAGAAAUGGUCCCCUGCUCACUAGAGAUCAAAUUCUAGGGGCCGGUUCUGCAAAUUGAAUGGACAGGACUAUCUUGCUGUAAAAUGCACCAAUGUCAUAGCUAACAUUGCAGUGCCGUUCCAUCAACCUGAGAGCUUAAAGUCAUGCUAGCUUAACAACUACCAAGCUGCCCAGCCAAUGAAAAUAGGGUAGGUCACCACAGAGUUGCAGGUCACAUAACAUUCAGAAAACAGAAGAGCAAUAUGAAAUUUGAAUGCAUGCACAAUAAAAUUCAGAAAACAGAAAAGCUAUAUGAAAUUCGAAUGGAUGCACAUCCCAUGUUUUCUAUAGAUCUUUUCCCCUGAUCUUUAACAGUAGGCAAAAAAAAAAAA
Long non-coding RNA from Phoenix dactylifera (date palm), 1960 nucleotides. RefSeq lists it as uncharacterized. Lineage: Eukaryota; Viridiplantae; Streptophyta; Magnoliopsida; Arecales; Arecaceae. The record is from RefSeq and is a predicted model, not a curated record.